This 790-nucleotide non-coding RNA is filed under the name Selenophorus alternans. The record is from RNAcentral. Lineage: Eukaryota; Metazoa; Arthropoda; Insecta; Coleoptera; Carabidae.
UUAAAGUUUAAAUCUAGCUUAAUUAUUUAUUCAAUUUUUCUUUUACAUGUAAAUUUAUGUGUGAUUUUUAGUUAAAUUUUAAUAAUUUAAUUAGGUGUUUAUAUUCGCAGUAUUUAUUAUUAUUAAUUCAGGAAAUUGUGAAUUAGGAAUAAAUUUUAUUAUUGACAAAUUUUGUGCCAGCAGUUGCGGUUAUACAAAAAAUAUAAAUAAAUAUUAUUGGAUAGUAACUAAGUGUUUGAAUGUUAAAAUUAGGUUUAAGUUAGUUAGGUGAAAUUAUUAAUUUAAGGAUAGUUUUAAUUUUAAAUGGUUAAUGUUAUGAAAUUUUUAUUUAAACUAGGAUUAGAUACCCUACUAUUUUAAAUGUAAAACUAAGUUCUUGAGUAGUAAAAGUUAUGUUCUCGAAAUUUAAAGAUUUUGGCGGUAUUUUAGUCUAUUCAGAGGAACCUGUUUUAUAAUUGAUAGUCCACGAUUGACUCUACUUGGGUUAAUAAGUUUGUAUAUCGUCGUUAUAGGAUAUUUUAUAAGAAGAUAAAUUUUUAAUAAUUUCAAUAAAUUAAUAUAUCAGAUCAAGGUGCAGCAUAUACUUGAGUAAAAAUGGGUUACAAUAAAUUUAUUUAUAAUGAAUUAGGCAAGGAAGAUAUAUGCUUAUGAAAGUGGAUUUGAUAGUAAUGUUAUUUAUUUAAAUGACAUGAUUUGAGCUCUAAAAUAUGUACAUAUCGCCCGUCACUCUUAUGUAAGUUAAGAUAAGUCGUAACAUAGUAGAUGUACUGGAAAGUGUAUCUAGAAUGAU